Molecule: long non-coding RNA, 2633 nt
Organism: Parasteatoda tepidariorum (common house spider)
Lineage: Eukaryota; Metazoa; Arthropoda; Arachnida; Araneae; Theridiidae
Source: RefSeq, a predicted model, not a curated record
AGGGAAAAUAUAAAAAGUGAAACAUGGAUGCCGUUACGUCGUGUGAGGUGUCUGCUACGAAAAAUGAUUUCGCUGUAAUAGCUGCGUAUCUCGGUUUUUUCCGUAGGUUUCUUCCUCAGGCACAUUGCAAUAUUAUGACUGGGGACAUAGAUGAAAGAAAAAUGAUGAAUAUUCAUAGUUAAGUAGUCCAUAAGUGUUUAUGUUGACUAGUGGAGCAACACUCUGAGCGAGGUGUUCAGCUUAUUAAUGAUGAAAACCAAGAGGGACAUGGAAAAAUAUAGAAAUGAGAAGGAGUCCAGUUCUUCGAGUGCAUAACUAACGCGGGGAACUGCUUGGUGCAGUAUGCUGUACCAGAAAAACAUCUUACAGCGUGAGUAAUAUACUUAGAUUUAGCAGAGCAUCAUAUGUAUUAAGAUGCAUCACAUGUGCAUAAGAAGACAAGUGGCAGUCCGGAAGUUAGCCAGCUGUGAACCGGUUGUUGGACAACUACAUGUGUGGGUGAGCACGCUGCCUCCCACUAUUUUAUUCUAAAAUAUGUUAGCAGAUUCAAUCAACGUGGAUGAUAUAAAAGUAUUUUUAAAGAAAUAUCUUAAUUGAUAGUGCAGUACUGUUUAUCAUUAGUGUAAAAAUGCAGAACUAACCAUUAACCAACAAUAACAAAAGGGGAAACUUUUCUUCUCCCUCUCAACCCCAGUGGUGGAUUAGAGGGUGCAAACACCUGUUUCCAAGGUCCUCUGCUGCUAUGUCCCUAAAUAUUAUUUUUCCUUUAUACACAGAAACCAUACCAAACCUAGGGAUACGGGCUUGUUACAAUGGAAGCUACCCUUUCUCCCCAAUAGAUAUUCUUUGAUUAAGGUUCCAACUGCAUGAUCAACUAAUAAAUGAAUGGUGGCAAUGUGGCCAGCUUUGUAAGCUUUUACAUUCCAGGCUCAUUGGUAUGAAGUUUAAAACAUCAAUAAAGAAGCUACAUCGAAAAUAAUUUAAGGCAAAGCUUCAGUUCUACAUACUUCAGAUUUAAAAUAUAUUUUUAAUGCACGAUCACAUGAGUCUACAAAUUCACACAAUUCAAGGCUUAUCUUAAAGCAUGAUAAUUGCAGAUAAAAUUCAGUCAAAUAUUAACACAUGUACUAUCAUAGCUAUAUUUAUUUAUAUUUUAAGCUUGUUUCAGCAUGUUAGAGAUUUAAUCAUUUUGUAUUUUUACACCUCUUUAUAAAUCCCCAAAGGUUAGCGUUUCAAUAAAUGACUCUUUGCGAUAAUUAAUUUAUUAGAAUUAGUUGCGUGAUAUUAGAAGUCUUAGGAAUAUGAUAAAUUUUUGUCUUAGGAUUUAGAAAUAAAAGUUUAAUGGGUCAGAAAAGCUAAAUGCUGUUUACUACUAAGGACCAUUCUAAUGAAGCUUUAAACAUAUUUUAAUCUUAUAAUAUCUUUUAAAAUUAUUUACUUUGGAAGUUUGUUUGAAAUGCACAUUAUUUACUUCAUUCUUAAAAAAUGUGUUAAAUUAUUUCAGUUGCAAAAUUUUUGUGUUUUUGUUUCUUAAUGUUAAUCAUAUCAGAUAUUUCUUUCAGGUGCAGAUGUAUCUCACUAAACAUAUGCAAAAAUAAAUAAGAUUUUUAAAUGUAAAAUAAUUUACAAAUUCUAUUUUUUAAAAAUAAUUUUUGAAUUUAUUCAAAUUAACUUCACCAUCUAAUUAAAAAAAAUGUUUUACAUUAAAACAAAUAGCAAACUCAUUUUCAAGUUCUUGAGUAGAACUGGUGCCAGCAAGUAUCGUUUUUUUCUCCCUAGUUAUUAUUUAUUAGAUAGAUGCAAUCCGAUUCUCAGUUGCAGCAUAUUUUUCUAUAUUAAAUCUUAAUUAUUUUAGGCCAUACGAAGAGAAGGCUUAGCUUUCUUUUGAACAAGCUGACAAGAAUUUUGAGCGUUUUGACUAGAGCAAUGGCCAUGGGUCAGGACUACUUGCAGAGUAAUGUGUAUAGAAUAGGACAGAGUUUGAGAAGUUUGUUAGUCUGAUAACUUUAAUUCAAUUCAGAGAAAAUAACUGAAGGAAAAUCAGGCAAGUAAAUGCACAAACAAUUUAUUGUAAUUUUGUUUCUCUUAUUCAGUGAUUUUAAAUUUAAAUUAUGUACAAUGUGAGAGAAAUUUGAUUUUUUUUCUGUUAAUAAAAUUUAAAUAAUUCUAAUUUUGCAACUUGGACGCAAUAUCUUAAGCUACCUUACCUUAUGGAAAGUUCAAAUUUCAGAAAUUUAUAUCUGAUGUGCAAGAACAUUUCAUGUAUCAACCAACACUUCGCAAAGAUGGAUACUUAUUUAACUGAUGUGAACAACAAUUUGCAUUUAGAAUUGCUCAACCGACACAUUUUUAUAAAUAAUUAAUUGUUUAUAAUUUGAAACGAUUAUAAAAACAGGAUUUUAUACAGAGGAAGAAAAGACAAAAAGUGCAAUUAUAAAGUGAAAUUUCAUUAAAUCAUACAGAGUAAAAUUUUUUAGUGUUAAAAUUGGAUCAGCUGCACUGCAAGUCAGUAUUUUUAGGUCAAUCUAGACAUAUCUAACAUAUCUUUUCGCAGAUUAGAUAUUGUACAUCAUUUUUGACCGACCACAUUCAAUUUCACAUUAAUAAAAGUAUGAGAAGACUUAAAAUAUUAA